Molecule: ribosomal RNA, 250 nt
Filed under: uncultured bacterium
Lineage: Bacteria
Description: partial 16S ribosomal RNA
Rfam family: Bacterial small subunit ribosomal RNA
Source: RNAcentral
AACGUAGGAGCCAAGCGUUAUCCGAAUUUACUGGGCGUAAAGCGCGCGCAGGCGGUCCUUUAAGUCUGGUGUGAAAUCUCGCGGCUCAACCGCGAGCGGUCAUUGGAAACUGGGGGACUUGAGUGCAGAAGAGGAAAGCGGAAUUCCACGUGUAGCGGUGAAAUGCGUAGAGAUGUGGAGGAACACCAGUGGCGAAGGCGACUCUCUGGGCUGUAACUGACGCUGAGGCGCGAAAGCGUGGGGAGCAAAC